This 465-nucleotide ribosomal RNA is filed under the name Vreelandella stevensii. Its description in RNAcentral is "partial 16S ribosomal RNA". It matches the Rfam family "Bacterial small subunit ribosomal RNA", at positions 338 to 795 of the family's 1533-position model. The record is from RNAcentral. Lineage: Bacteria; Pseudomonadati; Pseudomonadota; Gammaproteobacteria; Oceanospirillales; Halomonadaceae.
CCUACGGGCGGCAGCAGUGGGGAAUAUUGGACAAUGGGGGGAACCCUGAUCCAGCCAUGCCGCGUGUGUGAAGAAGGCCCUCGGGUUGUAAAGCACUUUCAGUGAGGAAGAACGCCUGGUGGUUAAUACCCAUCAGGAAAGACAUCACUCACAGAAGAAGCACCGGCUAACUCCGUGCCAGCAGCCGCGGUAAUACGGAGGGUGCGAGCGUUAAUCGGAAUUACUGGGCGUAAAGCGCGCGUAGGUGGCUUGAUAAGCCGGUUGUGAAAGCCCCGGGCUCAACCUGGGAACGGCAUCCGGAACUGUCAAGCUAGAGUGCAGGAGAGGAAGGUAGAAUUCCCGGUGUAGCGGUGAAAUGCGUAGAGAUCGGGAGGAAUAACAGUGGCGAAGGCGGCCUUCUGGACUGACACUGCCACUGAGGUGCGAAAGCGUGGGUAGCAAACAGGAUUAGAUACCCUAGUAGUC